Molecule: ribosomal RNA, 800 nt
Filed under: gamma proteobacterium PM47
Lineage: Bacteria; Pseudomonadati; Pseudomonadota; Gammaproteobacteria
Description: bacterial SSU rRNA
Rfam family: Bacterial small subunit ribosomal RNA
Source: RNAcentral
AGCUUGCUACCCGCUGACNAGCGGCGGACGGGUGAGUAAUGCAUAGGAAUCUGCCCGGUAGUGGGGGAUAACCUGGGGAAACCCAGGCUAAUACCGCAUACGUCCUACGGGAGAAAGGGGGCUCCGGCUCCCGCUAUUGGAUGAGCCUAUGUCGGAUUAGCUAGUUGGUGAGGUAAUGGCUCACCAAGGCGACGAUCCGUAGCUGGUCUGAGAGGAUGAUCAGCCACAUCGGGACUGAGACACGGCCCGAACUCCUACGGGAGGCAGCAGUGGGGAAUAUUGGACAAUGGGCGAAAGCCUGAUCCAGCCAUGCCGCGUGUGUGAAGAAGGCCCUCGGGUUGUAAAGCACUUUCAGCGAGGAAGAACGCCUAGUGGUUAAUACCCACUAGGAAAGACAUCACUCGCAGAAGAAGCACCGGCUAACUCCGUGCCAGCAGCCGCGGUAAUACGGAGGGUGCAAGCGUUAAUCGGAAUUACUGGGCGUAAAGCGCGCGUAGGUGGCUUGAUAAGCCGGUUGUGAAAGCCCCGGGCUCAACCUGGGAACGGCAUCCGGAACUGUCAAGCUAGAGUGCAGGAGAGGAAGGUAGAAUUCCCGGUGUAGCGGUGAAAUGCGUAGAGAUCGGGAGGAAUACCAGUGGCGAAGGCGGCCUUCUGGACUGACACUGACACUGAGGUGCGAAAGCGUGGGUAGCAAACAGGAUUAGAUACCCUGGUAGUCCACGCCGUAAACGAUGUCGACCAGCCGUUGGGUGCCUAGCGCACUUUGUGGCGAAGUUAACGCGAUAAGUCGACCGCCUGGG